Molecule: ribosomal RNA, 434 nt
Filed under: uncultured bacterium
Lineage: Bacteria
Description: partial 16S ribosomal RNA
Rfam family: Bacterial small subunit ribosomal RNA
Source: RNAcentral
AGCGAACGCUGGCGGCAGGCCUAACACAUGCAAGUCGAACGAACCUUUCGGGGUUAGUGGCGGACGGGUGAGUAACACGUGGGAACGUGCCUUUAGGUUCGGAAUAACUCAGGGAAACUUGUGCUAAUACCGAAUGUGCCCUUCGGGGGAAAGAUUUAUCGCCUUUAGAGCGGCCCGCGUCUGAUUAGCUAGUUGGUUGAGGUAAUGGCUCACCAAGGCGACGAUCAGUAGCUGGUCUGAGAGGAUGAUCAGCCACAUUGGGACUGAGACACGGCCCAAACUCCUACGGGAGGCAGCAGUGGGGAAUCUUGCGCAAUGGGCGAAAGCCUGACGCAGCCAUGCCGCGUGAAUGAUGAAGGUCUUAGGAUUGUAAAAUUCUUUCACCGGGGACGAUAAUGACUGUACCCGGAGAAGAAGCCCCGGCUAACUUCGUG